AACGAACGCUGGCGGCAUGCCUAACACAUGCAAGUCGAACGAGACCUCCGGGUCUAGUGGCGCAUGGGUGCGUAACGGGUGGGAACCUGCCCAUAGGGUCGGAAUAACUCUCCGAAAGGGGUGCUAAUACCGGAUAAUGUCUACGGACCAAAGAUUUAUCGCCUUUGGAUGGGCCGGCGUUGGAUUAGGUAGUUGGUAGGGUAAAAGCCUACUAAGGUGAUGAUUCAUAGCUGGUCUGAGAGGAUGAUCAGCCACACUGGGACUGAGACACGGCCCAGACUCCUCCGGAAGGCAGCAGUGGGGAAUAUUGGACAAUGGGCGAAGGCCUGAUCCAGCAAUGCCGCGUGAGUGAUGAAGGCCUUAAAGUUGUAAUGCUCUUUUACCCGGGAUGGUAAUGACGGUACCGGGAGAAUAAGCUCCGGCUAACUCCGUG
This 433-nucleotide ribosomal RNA is filed under the name uncultured bacterium. Its description in RNAcentral is "partial 16S ribosomal RNA". It matches the Rfam family "Bacterial small subunit ribosomal RNA", at positions 29 to 507 of the family's 1533-position model. The record is from RNAcentral.